RNAcentral lists this small nucleolar RNA (138 nucleotides) under Cicer arietinum (chickpea). RNAcentral's name for it is "Small nucleolar RNA snoR136". It matches the Rfam family "Small nucleolar RNA snoR136". The record is from Rfam by way of RNAcentral. Lineage: Eukaryota; Viridiplantae; Streptophyta; Magnoliopsida; Fabales; Fabaceae.
UUGGCUUCAAAUUUGUGUUAUUUCCGCUUCCACUUUUUAGUGUGGUUUGCAAUUUUCAAUUGAAGCCUAGAAUUGUGUUCCCCUCGCUAUCCGAUGCUCCAAAUUGAUGUUGCAUUUGGACGUCGGGGAACAAAAUUU